GCAGUCGAGCGAGCCGAACUAAUUGAUUACCUUCGGGUAUGAAGUUAGGGAAGCGAGCGGCGGAUGGGUGAGUAACACGUGGGUAACCUACCCUAUAGUCUGGGAUACCACUUGGAAACAGGUGCUAAUACCGGAUAAAAGGAGAGAUCACAUGAUUUCUUUUUGAAAGGCGGCGUAAGCUGUCGCUAAAGGAUGGACCCGCGGUGCAUUAGCUAGUUGGUAAGGUAACGGCUUACCAAGGCAACGAUGCAUAGCCGAGUUGAGAGACUGAUCGGCCACAUUGGGACUGAGACACGGCCCAAACUCCUACGGGAGGCAGCAGUAGGGAAUCUUCCACAAUGGACGCAAGUCUGAUGGAGCAACGCCGCGUGAGUGAAGAAGGUUUUCGGAUCGUAAAGCUCUGUUGUUGGUGAAGAAAGAUAGUGAGAGUAACUGCUCAUUAUUUGCCGGUAAUCAACCAGAAAGUCACGGCUAACUACGUGCCAGCAGCCGCGGUAAUACGUAGGUGGCAAGCGUUGUCCGGAUUUAUUGGGCGUAAAGCGAGCGCAGGCGGAAAGAUAAGUCAGAUGUGAAAGCCCUCGGCUUAACCGAGGAAUAGCAUCGGAAACUGUCUUUCUUGAGUGCAGAAGAGGAGAGUGGAACUCCAUGUGUAGCGGUGGAAUGC
This 664-nucleotide ribosomal RNA is filed under the name Lactobacillus sp. JCM 7525. RNAcentral's name for it is "bacterial SSU rRNA". It matches the Rfam family "Bacterial small subunit ribosomal RNA", at positions 57 to 689 of the family's 1533-position model. Lineage: Bacteria; Bacillati; Bacillota; Bacilli; Lactobacillales; Lactobacillaceae. The record is from RNAcentral.